RNAcentral lists this ribosomal RNA (253 nucleotides) under uncultured bacterium. RNAcentral's name for it is "partial 16S ribosomal RNA". It matches the Rfam family "Bacterial small subunit ribosomal RNA", at positions 524 to 776 of the family's 1533-position model. The record is from RNAcentral.
UACAGAGGGUGCGAGCGUUGUCCGGAAUCACUGGGCGUAAAGGGCGCGUAGGUGGCUCGUUAAGCGUGUGGUGAAAGCCUGGGGCUCAACCCCAGGUCUGCCGUGCGAACUGGCGAGCUUGAGAGUAGUAGAGGCGGGUGGAAUUUCGGGUGUAGCGGUGGAAUGCGUAGAUAUCCGAAAGAACACCGGUGGCGAAGGCGGCCCGCUGGGCUAUUUCUGACACUGAUGCGCGACAGCGUGGGGAGCAAACAGG